This 385-nucleotide ribosomal RNA is filed under the name uncultured bacterium. Its description in RNAcentral is "bacterial SSU rRNA". It matches the Rfam family "Bacterial small subunit ribosomal RNA", at positions 28 to 414 of the family's 1533-position model. The record is from RNAcentral.
GACGAACGCUGGCGGCGUGCUUAACACAUGCAAGUCGAGCGGUAAGGCCCUUUCGGGGGUACACGAGCGGCGAACGGGUGAGUAACACGUGGGUGACCUGCCCUCAGCUCUGGGAUAAGCCUGGGACACCGAGUCUAAUACUGGAUAUGACUCCAUGACGCAUGUUGUGGGGUGGAAAGCCUUGUGCGGCUGAGGAUGGGCCCCGCGGCCUAUCAGCUUGUUGGGGGGUGAUGGCCUACCAAGGCGACGACGGGUAGCCGGCCUGAGAGGGCGACCGGCCACACUGGGACUGAGACACGGCCCAGACUCCUACGGGAGGCAGCAGUGGGGAAUCUUGCGCAAUGGGCGAAAGCCUGACGCAGCGACGCCGCGUGAGGGAUGACGG